ACUUCUCAAGGAAUGGUGCUUUUCUCAGAAUACGUCUAAAUUAAAGACCUAUGUUGCACUAUGAUUAAUGAAUGCCGGGUUAAGGCACCCGAUGCCGACGCUCAUCAGAUCCCAGAAAAGGUGUUGGUUGAUAUAGACAGCAGGACGGUGGCCAUGGAAGUUGGAAUCUGCUAAGGAGUGUGUAACAACUCACCUGCCGAAUCAACUAGCCCUGAAAAUGGAUGGCACUGGAGUGUCGGGCCCAUACCCAGCUGUUGCCGGCAAUGAGAGCCAUGGGGGCUAUGCCGCGAUGAGUAGGAGGCCGCUGCGGUGCGCCUUGAAGCCUAGGGCACUGGCACGGGUGGAGCCGUCGCAGGUG
Molecule: non-coding RNA, 358 nt
Filed under: Chelonia mydas (Green sea turtle)
Lineage: Eukaryota; Metazoa; Chordata; Testudines; Cheloniidae
Description: Eukaryotic large subunit ribosomal RNA
Rfam family: Eukaryotic large subunit ribosomal RNA
Source: Rfam by way of RNAcentral